CUGAACUGCACCAGGCAGGCAGGGACAGCAAGAUGGUGUCACAGACCCACGUCCUCUUGUUCCUGUUGCUCUGGGUCUCUGGUGCCUGUGGGGACAUUGUGAUGACCCAGUCCCUGAGGUCCCUGGUUGUAUCUGCAGGAGAGAAGGUCACCAUCAACUGCAAGUCCAGCCAGAGUCUUUUAUCCAACAAUAAGAACUACUUAGCCUGGCACCAGCAGAAACCAGGACAGGCUCCUAAGAUGCUCAUCUCCUGGGCAUCCACCCGGGCAUCUGGGGUCCCCGACCGAUUCAGUGGCAGUGGGUCUGGGACAGACUUCACUCUCACCAUCAGCGGCAUACGGGCUGAAGAUGUGGCUGUUUAUUACUGCCAGCAGUAUCAUAGUGCUCCUCCCACAGUGCGUCAGACUCGAGCACAAACCUCCUCCCCGGGCCACAGAUCAGUGAGUCUUUGCUGCACCAGAUGCUUCCUCCUCACACAGGCCUGAACAUGCAUGCUUCUUCCAUCUGCCUGCGAAGUCACAUCUCUUGAUUUAUUUCUUGGAGGGUCUGCAGGGCCCAGGAGAGUAUUAAGGGACUUGGCUUUCUCUGGACCCCUUUUUGUGGGACAGAUUAUUAAAGAAGAAUGUUGUAAUGAU
Molecule: non-coding RNA, 635 nt
Organism: Lemur catta (Ring-tailed lemur)
Lineage: Eukaryota; Metazoa; Chordata; Mammalia; Primates; Lemuridae
Source: the annotation of a RefSeq genome assembly